GAUAAUAGUGGCACAGUGGAUUGAGUACUGGACCUGGGAUCAGGAAGAGGAUCAAAUCUCAGCUGAGAAACUUACAUGUUGUAUGACCCUGGAGAAGUCAGUUGACCUUUCUUAGGUUCUCUUUAUUCAUCUGCAAAAGGCGAAUAAGGUGCUGAAUGAGAAAGACAAAAGCAAAAGGGAUCCUGCUCUCAAGAAACUUGGUUCUCCUGGUUAUUAUUUACAUAAGUUUGAGAUGCUGCUGCUGCUUAGGCUCCCACAUACUGAGAAGCUGUUCUUCUGUUUUAUUAUUUGAAGAGUGCAUAGCUUUACUUUGAGGGGAAAUUAAACUUGAAGUAGGACAUGAACUUGACAAAUACAGGGAAACCUGCAGGAGAG
Molecule: long non-coding RNA, 375 nt
Filed under: Monodelphis domestica (gray short-tailed opossum)
Lineage: Eukaryota; Metazoa; Chordata; Mammalia; Didelphimorphia; Didelphidae
Description: lncRNA (ENSMODG00000038695.1)
Source: RNAcentral